CCCGCCGAGGACGAGCCCGACAAGGAGGACAGGAAGCCGUGGGAGGUCACGGGAGGAGGGACCGACGAAGGCCACGGCGGCAAGAGCUGAGGGCGGGACCCUCGGCGGGCUCCAGCC
RNAcentral lists this ribosomal RNA (117 nucleotides) under Alexandrium andersonii. RNAcentral describes it as "partial Archaeal small subunit ribosomal RNA". Lineage: Eukaryota; Dinophyceae; Gonyaulacales; Pyrocystaceae. The record is from RNAcentral.